RNAcentral lists this small RNA (703 nucleotides) under Pan troglodytes (chimpanzee). RNAcentral's name for it is "retained intron". Lineage: Eukaryota; Metazoa; Chordata; Mammalia; Primates; Hominidae. The record is from RNAcentral.
CACAGAGGAUUCUACUUUCUUUAAAACUUUGUUUUCAGGCAAUUUCCCUGAGAACCGUUUACUUCCAGAAGAUUGGUGGAGCUUGAUCUGAAGGCUGGCCAUGAAAUCUCAAGGUCAACAUUGGUGUUCCAGUUCAGAUAAAAACUGUAAAGUGAGCUUUCGUGAGAAGCUUCUGAUUAUUGAUUCAAACCUGGGGGUCCAAGAUGUGGAGAACCUCAAGUUUCUCUGCAUAGGAUUGGUCCCCAACAAGAAGCUGGAGAAGUCCAGCUCAGCCUCGGAUGUUUUUGAACAUCUCUUGGCAGAGGAUCUGCUGAGUGAGGACGACCCUUUCUUCCUGGCAGAACUCCUCUAUAUCAUACGGCAGAAGAAGCUGCUGCAGCACCUCAACUAUACCAAAGAGGAAGUGGAGCGACUGCUGCCCACCCGACAACGGGUUUCUCUGUUUAGGUGAGGACGGGUCUGUGGUGGAGAUGGGAGGAUCUCCCAUCUAGUGUUCAUUCUGGCCAUUGGGCUUUGAAAGGAAGCUGCAGUUAAGAUCUUUUGGUUAUCUACCUCCUUGGAUGAUAAACCAGGAGAUUCUAAACCUCCUUCUCAGCCUCUGAUGCUAAUGAGAUGAGAGUUGGGAGGUUGGCAAAGCUUCAAGACCAAGCUCUGGGCCCAGAGGUGGCUUCCCUUUGUUUUGCUUCUCACUAGCAGUGAAGCC